This 174-nucleotide non-coding RNA is filed under the name uncultured Ligilactobacillus sp. Its description in RNAcentral is "Lysine riboswitch". It matches the Rfam family "Lysine riboswitch aptamer". From Rfam's summary of the family: Riboswitches are metabolite binding domains within certain messenger RNAs that serve as precision sensors for their corresponding targets. The record is from RNAcentral. Lineage: Bacteria; Bacillati; Bacillota; Bacilli; Lactobacillales; Lactobacillaceae.
UCGAAGAGGCGCGACCAAUAUUAGUAUCUUGGGUUAGUUUAUUUCCGAACAAUAAUCCCAAGUGAAAGGAGCGGUCGCCGAAGCGCCAGGAAGGGGAAUAUUUCUGGUUUGCUGGGUUGAAGUUUAAGAGGCUUCAGACUGUCGCAAGAAAAUAAAAGCUUGCGGGGCGCUAUC